AGAGUUUGAUCCUGGCUCAGGAUUAACGCUGGCGGCGUGCCUAACACAUGCAAGUCGAGCGGCAGCGAGUUUUACACUGAAUUCUGGAAGCUUCUAGUUGAAAGAGAAGAUUUAUUCAAGAAUUUUGUGUAAAAUGUCGGCGAGCGGCGGACGGCUGAGUAACGCGUGGGAACGUACCCCAAAGUGAGGGAUAACGCAUCGAAAGGUGUGCUAAUACCGCAUAUGGUCUUCGGAUUAAAGCCUUCGGGCGCUUUGGGAACGGCCUGCGUAAGAUUAGAUAGUUGGUGGGGUAAUGGCCUACCAAGUCGACGAUCUUUAACUGGUUUGAGAGGAUGAUCAGUCAGACUGGAACUGAGACACGGUCCAGACUCCUACGGGAGGCAGCAGUGAGGAAUCUUCCACAAUGGGCGAAAGCCUGAUGGAGCAACGCCGCGUGCAGGAUGAAGGCCUUCGGGUUGUAAACUGCUUUUAUAAGUGAGGAUUAUGACAGUAACUUAUGAAUAAGGAUCGGCUAACUACGUGCCAGCAGCCGCGGUCAUACGUAGGAUCCGAGCGUUAUCCGGAGUGACUGGGCGUAAAGAGUUGCGUAGGUGGUUCGAUAAGCGAAUAGUGAAAUCUGGUGGCUCAACCAUUCAGACUAUUAUUCGAACUGUUGAACUCGAGAGCAGAAGAGGUAGCUGGAAUUUCUAGUGUAGGAGUGAAAUCCGUAGAUAUUAGAAGGAACACCGAUGGCGUAGGCAGGCUACUGGGCUGUUUCUGACACUGAGGCACGAAAGCGUGGGGAGCGAACCGGAUUAGAUACCCGGGUAGUCCACGCCGUAAACGAUGGAUACUAGCUGUUUGGGGUAUCGACCCCCUGAGUAGCGAAGCUAACGCGUUAAGUAUCCCGCCUGUGGAGUACGAUCGCAAGAUUAAAACAUAAAGGAAUUGACGGGGACCCGCACAAGCGGUGGAUCAUGUUCUUUAAUUCGAUGAUAACCGAUAAACCUUACCAGGUCUUGACAUCCUUGGAAUCUUUCAGAAAUGAGAGAGUGCUUUUUAAGAGCCAAGUGACAGGUGAUGCAUGGCCGUCGUCAGCUCGUGUCGUGAGAUGUUUGGUUAAGUCCAUCAACGAGCGCAACCCUUGUCAGUAGUUGUAUUUUUCUACUGAGACUGCCCCGGCAACGGGGAGGAAGGAGGGGAUGACGUCAGGUCAGUAUUUCCCUUACGUCCUGGGCUAGAAACGUGAUACAAUGGCUAGUACAAUGCGCAGCGAAGCCGCGAGGUGAAGCAAAUCGCAUCAAAGCUAGUCCCAGUUCGGAUUGUAGGCUGAAACUCGCCUGCAU
RNAcentral lists this ribosomal RNA (1325 nucleotides) under human oral metagenome. RNAcentral's name for it is "bacterial SSU rRNA". It matches the Rfam family "Bacterial small subunit ribosomal RNA", at positions 8 to 1321 of the family's 1533-position model. The record is from RNAcentral.